This is a long non-coding RNA of Tachyglossus aculeatus (Australian echidna), 453 nucleotides long. RefSeq lists it as uncharacterized. The transcript has 3 exons. Lineage: Eukaryota; Metazoa; Chordata; Mammalia; Monotremata; Tachyglossidae. The record is from RefSeq and is a predicted model, not a curated record.
GAAAAUUUAAGCCGUUUUGAGGUGGUUGCUUAAUUCCCUUCAGACAAGAGUCACGCCAUCGACAUCUGUGCCAGCUUUUUCCCAGAGCCCAGGACUCCCCCGUCUCCUUUCCUGCCAUCUAACUCUUGUGCUUUAUGCUGGCAGACAACAAAUGGGAAAAGAAUUGAGCGCAUCGCCAGAGAGGGAUAGAAGUCAGGAGCUGAAUUUUCCUGGGACCUCUGAACCCCAGUGCUCCCCCUUGGAUGACUUGCAAAAAAAAACAACACAAAACAUUUCCAAGGGCCCCCCCGAGCUCAGCUUAGCCAAUCUGUGAAAUGGAACGAAUCUGUCGGACAGAGCCAAGCCCUCCUUUGAAAACCCAAGCGAUGAAUUUGGCCCGCGGCAACUUCGUCCAGUGAACCUUAUUUUUCCCUGCCAAAUUGGUGCUGUGCUGACACAGAGAACUGCUGUGCA